RNAcentral lists this ribosomal RNA (429 nucleotides) under Pseudomonadota bacterium. Its description in RNAcentral is "Proteobacteria bacterium partial 16S ribosomal RNA". It matches the Rfam family "Bacterial small subunit ribosomal RNA", at positions 355 to 776 of the family's 1533-position model. The record is from RNAcentral. Lineage: Bacteria; Pseudomonadati; Pseudomonadota.
UGGGGAAUUUUGGACAAUGGGCGAAAGCCUGAUCCAGCCAUGCCGCGUGUGUGAAGAAGGUCUUCGGAUUGUAAAGCACUUUAAGUUGGGAGGAAGGGCAGUAAGCGAAUACCUUGCUGUUUUGACGUUACCGACAGAAUAAGCACCGGCUAACUCUGUGCCAGCAGCCGCGGUAAUACAGAGGGUGCAAGCGUUAAUCGGAAUUACUGGGCGUAAAGCGCGCGUAGGUGGUUCGUUAAGUUGAAUGUGAAAGCCCCGGGCUCAACCUGGGAACUGCAUCCAAAACUGGCGAGCUAGAGUAGGGCAGAGGGUGGUGGAAUUUCCUGUGUAGCGGUGAAAUGCGUAGAUAUAGGAAGGAACACCAGUGGCGAAGGCGACCACCUGGGCUCAUACUGACACUGAGGUGCGAAAGCGUGGGGAGCAAACAGG